RNAcentral lists this ribosomal RNA (253 nucleotides) under uncultured bacterium. RNAcentral's name for it is "partial 16S ribosomal RNA". It matches the Rfam family "Bacterial small subunit ribosomal RNA", at positions 524 to 776 of the family's 1533-position model. The record is from RNAcentral.
UACGUAGGGGGCAAGCGUUGUCCGGAUUUAUUGGGCGUAAAGAGCGUGUAGGCGGCCAGGUAGGUCAGCUGUGAAAACUCGAGGCUCAACCUCGAGACGCCGGUGGAAACCAUCAGACUAGAGUCCGGAAGAGGAGAGUGGAAUUCCUGGUGUAGCGGUGAAAUGCGCAGAUAUCAGGAAGAACACCCGUGGCUAAGGCGGCUCUCUAGUACGGUACUGACGCUGAGACGCGAAAGCGUGGGGAGCGAACAGG